UUCGGAUCGUAAAGCUCGUGGUGGGGGGAGAAGAAGAAGUCGGUGAAGAGCCGGCCCUGACGGUAUCCCCUUAGCAAGCACCGGCUAACUCCGUGCCAGCAGCCGCGGUAAUACGGAGGGUGCAAACGUUGCUCGGAAUCAUUGGGCGUAAAGCGCGCGUAGGCGGCUGAACAAGUUGGAUGUGAAAGCCCUGGGCUCAACCUAGGAUGUGCAUUCAAAACUGUUCGGCUUGAGUCUCGGAGGGGGUCAGAGAAUUCUCGGUGUAGAGGUGAAAUUCGUAGAUAUCGGGAGGAACACCAGUGGCGAAGGCGCUGACCUGGACGAUGACUGACGCUGAGGCGCGAAAGCGUGGGGAGCAAACAGGAUUAGAUACCCUGGUAGUCCACGCCGUAAACGAUGAGUGCUAGACGCUGGCGGAUUGACCCCGUCGGUGUCGAAGCUAACGCGUUAAGCACUCCGCCUGGGGAGUACGGUCGCAAGACUAAAACUCAAAGGAAUUGACGGG
RNAcentral lists this ribosomal RNA (505 nucleotides) under uncultured bacterium. RNAcentral describes it as "bacterial SSU rRNA". It matches the Rfam family "Bacterial small subunit ribosomal RNA", at positions 417 to 917 of the family's 1533-position model. The record is from RNAcentral.